RNAcentral lists this ribosomal RNA (489 nucleotides) under uncultured bacterium. RNAcentral describes it as "partial 16S ribosomal RNA". It matches the Rfam family "Bacterial small subunit ribosomal RNA", at positions 30 to 507 of the family's 1533-position model. The record is from RNAcentral.
AUUGAACGCUGGCGGCAGGCCUAACACAUGCAAGUCGAACGGUAACAGGAAGAAGCUUGCUUCUUUGCUGACGAGUGGCGGACGGGUGAGUAAUGUCUGGGAAACUGCCUGAUGGAGGGGGAUAACUACUGGAAACGGUAGCUAAUACCGCAUAACGUCGCAAGACCAAAGAGGGGGACCUUCGGGCCUCUUGCCAUCGGAUGUGCCCAGAUGGGAUUAGCUAGUAGGUGGGGUAACGGCUCACCUAGGCGACGACCCCUAGCUGGUCUGAGAGGAUGACCAGCCACACUGGAACUGAGACACGGUCCAGACUCCUACGGGAGGCAGCAGUGGGGAAUAUUGCACAAUGGGCGCAAGCCUGAUGCAGCCAUGCCGCGUGUAUGAAGAAGGCCUUCGGGUUGUAAGUACUUUCAGCGGGGAGGAAGGGAGUAAAGUUAAUACCUUUGCUCAUUGACGUUACCCGCAGAAGAAGCACCGGCUAACUCCGUG